RNAcentral lists this ribosomal RNA (301 nucleotides) under uncultured bacterium. RNAcentral's name for it is "partial 16S ribosomal RNA". It matches the Rfam family "Bacterial small subunit ribosomal RNA", at positions 509 to 808 of the family's 1533-position model. The record is from RNAcentral.
CAGCAGCGCGGGAAUACGGAGGGGGCUAGCGUUGCUCGGAAUUACUGGGCGUAAAGCGCACGUAGGCUGCUUUGUAAGUCAGAGGUGAAAGCCCGGGGCUCAACCCCGGACGUGCCUUUGAGACUGCAGAGCUAGAACGUCGGAGAGGUGAGUGGAAUUCCGAGUGUAGAGGUGAAAUUCGUAGAUAUUCGGAAGAACACCAGUGGCGAAGGCGGCUCACUGGACGACUGUUGACGCUGAGGUGCGAAAGCGUGGGGAGCAAACAGGAUUAGAUACCCCAGUAGUCCCUGUCUCUUAUACC